GAUGAACGCUAGCGGCAGGCCUAAUACAUGCAAGUCGAACGGGAUCCAGAUCAAAGCUUGCUUUGGUCUGGUGAGAGUGGCGCACGGGUGCGUAACGCGUGAGCAACCUACCCUUGUCAGGGGGAUAGCCCGGCGAAAGUCGGAUUAAUACCGCAUGACAUCAUUGAGAGGCAUCUUUCGAUGAUCAAAGAUUUAUCGGACAAGGAUGGGCUCGCGUGACAUUAGCUAGUUGGUAAGGUAACGGCUUACCAAGGCUGCGAUGUCUAGGGGCUCUGAGAGGAGAAUCCCCAACACUGGUACUGAGACACGGACCAGACUCCUACGGGAGGCAGCAGUAAGGAAUAUUGGUCAAUGGACGGAAGUCUGAGCCAGCCAUGCCGCGUGCAGGAGGACGGCCCUAUGGGUUGUAAACUGCUUUUAUACGGGAACAAACGUCGGUACGUGUACCGGUCUGAGUGUACCGUAAGAAUAAGGAUCGGCUAACUCCGUG
RNAcentral lists this ribosomal RNA (490 nucleotides) under uncultured bacterium. RNAcentral describes it as "partial 16S ribosomal RNA". It matches the Rfam family "Bacterial small subunit ribosomal RNA", at positions 28 to 507 of the family's 1533-position model. The record is from RNAcentral.